RNAcentral lists this ribosomal RNA (684 nucleotides) under uncultured bacterium. RNAcentral describes it as "bacterial SSU rRNA". It matches the Rfam family "Bacterial small subunit ribosomal RNA", at positions 8 to 698 of the family's 1533-position model. The record is from RNAcentral.
AGGGUUUGAUCAUGGCUCAGAUUGAACGCUGGCGGCAGGCCUAAUACAUGCAAGUCGAGCGCGAAAACCUUCGGGUGAGUAGAGCGGCGGACGGGUGAGUAACGCGUGGGAAUCUACCUAGUAGUGGGGGACAACUUGUGGAAACGCAAGCUAAUACCGCAUACGUCCUACGGGAGAAAGGGGGCUUCGGCUCUCGCUAUUGGAUGAGCCCGCGUUAGAUUAGCUAGUUGGUAGGGUAAAGGCCUACCAAGGCGACGAUCUAUAGCUGGUCUUAGAGGAUGAUCAGCCACACUGGAACUGAGACACGGUCCAGACUCCUACGGGAGGCAGCAGUAGGGAAUAUUGGACAAUGGGCGCAAGCCUGAUCCAGCCAUGCCGCGUGUGUGAAGAAGGCUCUAGGGUUGUAAAGCACUUUCAGUAGGGAGGAAAAGCUAGUAGUUAAUACCUGCUAGCCCUGACGUUACCUACAGAAGAAGCACCGGCAAACUCCGUGCCAGCAGCCGCGGUAAUACGGAGGGUGCGAGCGUUAAUCGGAAUUACUGGGCGUAAAGCGCGCGUAGGUGGUUUGUUAAGCGUGAUGUGAAAGCCCCGGGCUCAACCUGGGAACUGCAUCACGAACUGGCAGACUAGAGUACUGUAGAGGGUAGUAGAAUUUCUGGUGUAGCAGUGAAAUGCGUAGAUAUC